GACGAACGCUGGCGGCGCGCCUAACACAUGCAAGUCGAACGAGAGAUGAGGAGCUUGCUCUUCAAAUCGAGUGGCGAACGGGUGAGUAACGCGUGAGGAACCUGCCUCAAAGAGGGGGACAACAGUUGGAAACGACUGCUAAUACCGCAUAAGCCCACGGCUCGGCAUCGAGCAGAGGGAAAAGGAGCAAUCCGCUUUGAGAUGGCCUCGCGUCCGAUUAGCUAGUUGGUGAGGUAACGGCCCACCAAGGCGACGAUCGGUAGCCGGACUGAGAGGUUGAACGGCCACAUUGGGACUGAGACACGGCCCAGACUCCUACGGGAGGCAGCAGUGGGGAAUAUUGCACAAUGGGGGAAACCCUGAUGCAGCGACGCCGCGUGGAGGAAGAAGGUCUUCGGAUUGUAAACUCCUGUUGUUGAGGAAGAUAAUGACGGUACUCAACAAGGAAGUGACGGCUAACUACGUGCCAGCAGCCGCGGUAAAACGUAGGUCACAAGCGUUGUCCGGAAUUACUGGGUGUAAAGGGAGCGCAGGCGGGAGAACAAGUUGGAAGUGAAAUCCAUGGGCUCAACCCAUGAACUGCUUUCAAAACUGUUUUUCUUGAGUAGUGCAGAGGUAGGCGGAAUUCCCGGUGUAGCGGUGGAAUGCGUAGAUAUCGGGAGGAACACCAGUGGCGACGUCGGCCUACUGGGCACCAACUGACGCUGAGGCUCGAAAGUGUGGGUAGCAAACAGGAUUAGAUACCCUGGUAGUCCACACCGUAAACGAUGAUUAUUAGGUGUUGGAGGAUUGACCCCUUCAGUGCAGCAGUUAACACAAUAAGUAAUCCACCUGGGGAGUACGACCGCAAGGUUGAAACUCAAAGGAAUUGACGGGGGCCCGCACAAGCAGUGGAGUAUGUGGUUUAAUUCGACGCAACGCGAAGAACCUUACCAAGUCUUGACAUCCUGCGACGCACAUAGAAAUAUGUGUUUCCUUCGGGACGCAGAGACAGGUGGUGCAUGGUUGUCGUCAGCUCGUGUCGUGAGAUGUUGGGUUAAGUCCCGCAACGAGCGCAACCCUUAUGGUCAGUUACUACGCAAGAGGACUCUGGCCAGACUGCCGUUGACAAAACGGAGGAAGGUGGGGAUGACGUCAAAUCAUCAUGCCCUUUAUGACUUGGGCUACACACGUACUACAAUGGCGUUAAACAAAGAGAAGCAAGACCGCGAGGUGGAGCAAAACUCAGAAACAACGUCCCAGUUCGGACUGCAGGCUGCAACUCGCCUGCACGAAGUCGGAAUUGCUAGUAAUCGUGGAUCAGCAUGCCACGGUGAAUACGUUCCCGGGCCUU
RNAcentral lists this ribosomal RNA (1333 nucleotides) under uncultured bacterium. RNAcentral describes it as "bacterial SSU rRNA". It matches the Rfam family "Bacterial small subunit ribosomal RNA", at positions 28 to 1382 of the family's 1533-position model. The record is from RNAcentral.